ACGGCCCAGACUCCUACGGGAGGCAGCAGUGGGGAAUUUUCCGCAAUGGGCGAAAGCCUGACGGAGCAAGACCGCGUGAGGGAGGAAGGCUCUUGGGUUGUAAACCUCUUUUCUCAGGGAAGAAGCUCUGACGGUACCUGAGGAAUCAGCCUCGGCUAACUCCGUGCCAGCAGCCGCGGUAAUACGGAGGAGGCAAGCGUAAUCCGGAAUUAUUGGGCGUAAAGCGUCCGCAGGUGGCGAUUCAAGUCUGCUGUCAAAGCACGGGGCUUAACUCCGUUAAGGCAGUGGAAACUGAAUAGCUAGAGUGCCGUAGGGGUAGAGGGAAUUCCCGGUGUAGCGGUGAAAUGCGUAGAGAUCGGGAAGAACAUCGGUGGCGAAAGCGCUCUACUGGACGGCAACUGACACUCAGGGACGAAAGCUAGGGGAGCGAAUGGGAUUAGAUACCCAGUAGUCCUAGCUGUAAACGAUGGAUACUAGGUGUAGCUUGUAUCGACCCGAGCUGUGCCGAAGCUAACGCGUUAAGUAUCCCGCCUGGGGAGUACGCACGCAAGUGUGAAACUCAAAGGAAUUGACGGGGGCCCGCACAAGCGGUGGAGUAUUUGGUGUAAUUCGAUGCAACGCGAAGAACCUUACCAGGGCCUGACAUGUCCGGUAUCCCGGUGAAAGCUGGGAGUGCCUUCGGGAGCCGGAACACAGGUGGUGCAUGGCUGUCGUCAGCUCGUGUCGUGAGAUGUUGGGUUAAGUCCCGCAACGAGCGCUACCCUCGUCUCUAGUUGCCAGCAUUAAGUUGGGCACUCUAGAGAGACUGCCGGUGUCGAACCGGAGGAAGGUGGGGAUGACGUCAAGUCAGCAUGCCCCUUACGCUCUGGGCUACACACGUACUACAAUGGUCGGGACAGAGGGCAGCGAACCUGCGAAGGCAAGCUAAUCCCAGCAAACUCGGCCUCAGUUCAGAUCGCAGGCUGCAACUCGCCUGCGUGAAGGAGGAAUCGCUAGUAAUCGCCGGUCAGUAUACGGCGGCGAAUCCGUUCCCGGGCAUUGUACACACCGCCCGUCACACCAUGGAAGCUGGCUACGCCCGAAGUCGUUACCCUAACCUUUCGG
This 1104-nucleotide ribosomal RNA is filed under the name uncultured organism. RNAcentral's name for it is "bacterial SSU rRNA". It matches the Rfam family "Bacterial small subunit ribosomal RNA", at positions 326 to 1446 of the family's 1533-position model. The record is from RNAcentral.